GGGCCCGCACAAGCAGUGGAGCGUGUGGUUUAAUUCGACGCAACGCGCAGAACCUUACCAGGGCUUGACAUCAUGGUGCCAGCCGUGGAAACACGGUCUUCCGUAGCGAUACGGACGCCAUGACAGGUGUUGCAUGGUUGUCGUCAGCUCGUGUCGUGAGAUGUUGGGUUAAGUCCCGCAACGAGCGCAACCCCUAUCUGGUGUUGCCAACGGGUAAAGCCGGGGACUCACCAGAGACUGCCGGAGACGAUCUGGAGGAAGGUGGGGAUGAUGUCAAAUCAUCAUGGCCCUUAUGCCCUGGGCCACACACGCGCUACAAUGGCCGGUACAGCGGGCAGCUAAGGAGCAAUCCGGAGCGAAUCCCAAAAAGCCGGUCUCAGUUGGGAUCGGGGGCUGAAACUCGUCCCCGUGAACACGGAAUUGCUAGUAAUCGCGGAUCAGCCACGCCGCGGUGAAUACGUUCCCGGGCCUU
Molecule: ribosomal RNA, 472 nt
Filed under: uncultured bacterium
Lineage: Bacteria
Description: bacterial SSU rRNA
Rfam family: Bacterial small subunit ribosomal RNA
Source: RNAcentral